AGAGUUUGAUCCUGGCUCAGGACGAACGCUGGCGGCGUGCUUAACACAUGCAAGUCGAACGGUAAGGCCCUUCGGGGUACACGAGUGGCGAACGGGUGAGUAACACGUGGGUAAUCUGCCCUGCACAUCGGGAUAAGCCUGGGAAACUGGGUCUAAUACCGAAUAGGACCACAGGACACAUGUCCUGCGGUGGAAAGCUUUUGCGGUGUGGGAUGGGCCCGCGGCCUAUCAGCUUGUUGGUGGGGUGAUGGCCUACCAAGGCGACGACGGGUAGCCGGCCUGAGAGGGUGUCCGGCCACACUGGGACUGAGAUACGGCCCAGACUCCUACGGGAGGCAGCAGUGGGGAAUAUUGCACAAUGGGCGAAAGCCUGAUGCAGCGACGCCGCGUGAGGGAUGACGGCCUUCGGGUUGUAAACCUCUUUCAGCACAGACGAAGCGCAAGUGACGGUAUGUGCAGAAGAAGGACCGGCCAACUACGUGCCAGCAGCCGCGGUAAUACGUAGGGUCCGAGCGUUGUCCGGAAUUACUGGGCGUAAAGAGCUCGUAGGUGGUUUGUCGCGUUGUUCGUGAAAACUCACAGCUUAACUGUGGGCGUGCGGGCGAUACGGGCAGACUUGAGUACUGCAGGGGAGACUGGAAUUCCUGGUGUAGCGGUGAAAUGCGUAGA
RNAcentral lists this ribosomal RNA (669 nucleotides) under uncultured bacterium. Its description in RNAcentral is "bacterial SSU rRNA". It matches the Rfam family "Bacterial small subunit ribosomal RNA", at positions 8 to 694 of the family's 1533-position model. The record is from RNAcentral.